GCUGGCUCAGUAGGCGGAGCGUGAGACUCCUGAUCUCAGGAUUGUGAGUUCGAGCCCCACGCA
RNAcentral lists this transfer RNA (63 nucleotides) under Mustela putorius furo (domestic ferret). It matches the Rfam family "tRNA", at positions 6 to 65 of the family's 71-position model. Rfam says of the family: Transfer RNA (tRNA) molecules are approximately 80 nucleotides in length. Their secondary structure includes four short double-helical elements and three loops (D, anti-codon, and T loops). The record is from Rfam by way of RNAcentral. Lineage: Eukaryota; Metazoa; Chordata; Mammalia; Carnivora; Mustelidae.